GUAGGUGGCAAGCGUUGUCCGGAAUUAUUGGGGCGUAAAGCGCGCGCAGGCGGGGUCCUUUAAGUCUGAUGUGAAAGCCCACGGGCUCAACCGUGGAGGGUCAUUGGAAACUGGGGGACUUGAGUACAGAAGAGGAAAGCGGAAUUCCAAGUGUAGCGGUGAAAUGCGUAGAGAUUUGGAGGAACACCAGUGGCGAAGGCGGCUUUCUGGUCUGUAACUGACGCUGAGGCGCGAAAGCGUGGGGAGCAAACAGGAUUAGAUACCCUGGUAGUCCACGCCGUAAACGAUGAGUGCUAAGUGUUAGGGGGGUUUCCGCCCCUUAGUGCUGCAGCUAACGCAUUAAGCACUCCGCCUGGGGAGUACGGCCGCAAAGGCUG
RNAcentral lists this ribosomal RNA (377 nucleotides) under uncultured organism. RNAcentral describes it as "partial 16S ribosomal RNA". It matches the Rfam family "Bacterial small subunit ribosomal RNA", at positions 527 to 896 of the family's 1533-position model. The record is from RNAcentral.